GAACGAGAAAGUGGAGCAAUCCAUGAGUAAAGUGGCGACCGGGUGAGUAACACGUGACCAAUCUACCCUCGAGUGGGGGAUAACUCCGGGAAACCGGGGCUAAUACCGCAUAAAAUCUUCGGGUCGGAAGAACUGAAGAUCAAAGGAGCAAUUCGCUUGAGGAGGAGGUCGCGGCUGAUUAGCUAGUUGGCGGGGUAAUGGCCCACCAAGGCGAAGAUCGGUAGCCGGCCUGAGAGGGCGCACGGCCACACUGGAACUGAAACACGGUCCAGACUCCUACGGGAGGCAGCAGUGGGGAAUUUUGCGCAAUGGGGGAAACCCUGACGCAGCAACGCCGCGUGGAGGAUGAAGUCCCUUGGGACGUAAACUCCUUUCGACCGGGACGAUUAUGACGGUACCGGUGGAAGAAGCCCCGGCUAACUUCGUG
Molecule: ribosomal RNA, 427 nt
Filed under: uncultured bacterium
Lineage: Bacteria
Description: bacterial SSU rRNA
Rfam family: Bacterial small subunit ribosomal RNA
Source: RNAcentral